Molecule: ribosomal RNA, 481 nt
Filed under: uncultured Flavobacterium sp.
Lineage: Bacteria; Pseudomonadati; Bacteroidota; Flavobacteriia; Flavobacteriales; Flavobacteriaceae
Description: bacterial SSU rRNA
Rfam family: Bacterial small subunit ribosomal RNA
Source: RNAcentral
AGAGUUUGAUCCUGGCUCAGGAUGAACGCUAGCGGCAGGCUUAACACAUGCAAGUCGAGGGGUAUAGUAGCAAUACUAGAGACCGGCGCACGGGUGCGUAACGCGUAUGCAACCUACCUUUUACAGGGGAAUAGCCCAGAGAAAUUUGGAUUAAUGCCCCAUGGUAUAAUUGAGUGGCAUCAUUUAAUUAUUAAAGUUCCAACGGUAAAAGAUGGGCAUGCGUCCUAUUAGCUAGAUGGUAAGGUAACGGCUUACCAUGGCUACGAUAGGUAGGGGUCCUGAGAGGGAGAUCCCCCACACUGGUACUGAGACACGGACCAGACUCCUACGGGAGGCAGCAGUGAGGAAUAUUGGACAAUGGGCGCAAGCCUGAUCCAGCCAUGCCGCGUGCAGGAAGACGCAUCUAUGGUGUGUAAACUGCUUUUGUACGGGAAGAAACACUCCUACGUGUAGGAGCUUGACGGUACCGUAAGAAUAAGAU